Molecule: small nucleolar RNA, 82 nt
Organism: Electrophorus electricus (electric eel)
Lineage: Eukaryota; Metazoa; Chordata; Actinopteri; Gymnotiformes; Gymnotidae
Source: Ensembl
UGUGUCUGUGAUGACAGCUUGGCUCCCUCUACUGAGCACAAUGAGGAUAUUGCCCGUGUUACCCAAGUCUUGCUGAGACACU